Molecule: ribosomal RNA, 547 nt
Filed under: Streptomyces sp. 434D12
Lineage: Bacteria; Bacillati; Actinomycetota; Actinomycetes; Kitasatosporales; Streptomycetaceae
Description: bacterial SSU rRNA
Rfam family: Bacterial small subunit ribosomal RNA
Source: RNAcentral
UAGUGGCGAACGGGUGAGUAACACGUGGGCAAUCUGCCCUUCACUCUGGGACAAGCCCUGGAAACGGGGUCUAAUACCGGAUAACACUGCGGAUCGCAUGGUCUGNGGUUAAAAGCUCCGGCGGUGAAGGAUGAGCCCGCGGCCUAUCAGCUUGUUGGUGAGGUAGUGGCUCACCAAGGCGACGACGGGUAGCCGGCCUGAGAGGGCGACCGGCCACACUGGGACUGAGACACGGCCCAGACUCCUACGGGAGGCAGCAGUGGGGAAUAUUGCACAAUGGGCGAAAGCCUGAUGCAGCGACGCCGCGUGAGGGAUGACGGCCUUCGGGUUGUAAACCUCUUUCAGCAGGGAAGAAGCGAAAGUGACGGUACCUGCAGAAGAAGCGCCGGCUAACUACGUGCCAGCAGCCGCGGUAAUACGUAGGGCGCAAGCGUUGUCCGGAAUUAUUGGGCGUAAAGAGCUCGUAGGCGGCUUGUCACGUCGAUUGUGAAAGCCCGAGGCUUAACCUCGGGUCUGCAGUCGAUACGGGCUAGCUAGAGUGUGGUAG